Molecule: ribosomal RNA, 437 nt
Filed under: Staphylococcus aureus
Lineage: Bacteria; Bacillati; Bacillota; Bacilli; Caryophanales; Staphylococcaceae
Description: partial 23S ribosomal RNA
Rfam family: Bacterial large subunit ribosomal RNA
Source: RNAcentral
UUCGAAAGGGAAACAGCCCAGACCACCAGCUAAGGUCCCAAAAUAUAUGUUAAGUGGAAAAGGAUGUGGCGUUGCCCAGACAACUAGGAUGUUGGCUUAGAAGCAGCCAUCAUUUAAAGAGUGCGUAAUAGCUCACUAGUCGAGUGACACUGCGCCGAAAAUGUACCGGGGCUAAACAUAUUACCGAAGCUGUGGAUUGUCCUUUGGACAAUGGUAGGAGAGCGUUCUAAGGGCGUUGAAGCAUGAUCGUAAGGACAUGUGGAGCGCUUAGAAGUGAGAAUGCCGGUGUGAGUAGCGAAAGACGGGUGAGAAUCCCGUCCACCGAUUGACUAAGGUUUCCAGAGGAAGGCUCGUCCGCUCUGGGUUAGUCGGGUCCUAAGCUGAGGCCGACAGGCGUAGGCGAUGGAUAACAGGUUGAUAUUCCUGUACCACCUAUA